RNAcentral lists this transfer RNA (74 nucleotides) under Brachystegia angustistipulata. RNAcentral's name for it is "tRNA-Thr". The stretch from base 18 to 74 matches the Rfam family "tRNA", at positions 1 to 56 of the family's 71-position model. Rfam says of the family: Transfer RNA (tRNA) molecules are approximately 80 nucleotides in length. Their secondary structure includes four short double-helical elements and three loops (D, anti-codon, and T loops). Lineage: Eukaryota; Viridiplantae; Streptophyta; Magnoliopsida; Fabales; Fabaceae. The record is from RNAcentral.
GGAAUUGAAUCAAAGGGGCCCUUUUAACUCAGUGGUAGAGUAACGCCAUGGUAAGGCGUAAGUCAUCGGUUCAA